GGGGAAUGUGAUUCUCAGCUGUGGUGCUAUUUGCUGGAAACCAAAGCUGUAAAGCUUCCUCACAUAUUAAAAAAAAAAAAAAAAUCUGAUUUUAAUGGGUUUUUUCCACCAGCACAGAAACAAUGCAGUGUUUCUGUUCACUUGAGUGAAUUUGUGCUGGGGUCAGAGGCUUGGCUGGUGCUUUAUUAAGAACAUUACAUGGUCCUGCAAAUGGAAUUCAAGAACUGCAAAAAAUUUGUAUAUGUCUUAGACAUAGCUGUGUAUGUCAGUUUUCAGCUGAGCAUCGCUUGUCACAUGGUCCUAGAGGGAGCAGCUGUGAGCCAGGCUGUCUGCUCGGGAUGUUCCUCUGGGAAGUGUGCUUAGAAAGGCAGCUCCACUGAACUGCUCUCAAACACAACUUUUGAAGCCUCAUAGGCCUGGGAUUGGGACACAGGCACUGCUGGCUGUGCAUACACAAGUGAGGACAAAGCUUUGAAAUGAGAUAACCAGUGGAAUAUUUUUCCAUACCUAUGCAGAAAGAAACAUGGUCGAGUAUUCCAGAACAGUAUUAAUGAGUCUGUUGAGAAGCCUGUAUAGUAUUAUUUUGAUGAAAAAUUCAAGAUGUGAUGGCACAAGACAAAUGCCACUUGUGCAGCUGAUGACAAGUGUAAGAGGAUCGCUGCAGCCUCAUGACGGUGUGGAGGAGAUACAGAAUCACAGAAUCAUUUAACCCAGCAGUGCCAAGGCCACAACUAAACCACUGGCCUGAGUGCCACGACUAUGUCUGUGCAUCACCUGGGGAUGAUGCACAGUGCAUCACCUGGGGAUGGUGAUUCUACCACUUCCCUGGGCAGCCUGUUCCAGUGCUUUACAAGCCUUUCAGUGAAUAAUUUUUCCCUAAUAUCCAAUCUAAACCUGCUCUGGUGCAGCUUGAGGCCAUAUCCUCUUGUCCUGUUGCUAGUUACCUGAGAGAAGAGGCCAAUCCCCACAUCACCAAAAAUUCCUGUCAGGGAGUUUUAGAGAGCAAUAAGGUCCUCCUGAGCCUUCUUUUCUUCAGACUAAAUAGCCCCAGCUCCCCCAGCUGCUCGUCAGACUUUUGCUCCAGCCCCUUCCCCAGCUUUGUUCCCUUCUCUGGACAUGCUCCAGCCCCCCCCAGUGCCUUUUGCAGAGAGGGGCCAAAAAUGAACCCAGUGUUUGAGCUGUGGCCUCACCAGCACCCAGCACAGGGGGACAAUCACUACCCUAGUCCUGCUGGCCGCACCACUGCUGAUACAAGACUCAAUGAAACACAGUUUAAUUUCUUGGAUAGAAUAGAUGCUUGCUAUCAGUAUAUUUCUAAACGAAUUGUGUCAGGGAGUUUAACUCCACCACUCCUUUAAAUAGCUAAGUAGCAGUUGAGGUUCCAUAUAAAUGGAACAAACAGAACCAAAACCAAAAAGCAUCUACAUGAUAAUGUUGACAACUCUGUCUGUCGAGUCAUAAUGAACAUUUGAAGUCAUUC
Hirundo rustica (Barn swallow) is the source of this 1480-nucleotide long non-coding RNA. RefSeq lists it as uncharacterized. NCBI's taxonomy places the organism in Eukaryota, Metazoa, Chordata, Aves, Passeriformes, Hirundinidae. The transcript has 6 exons. The record is from RefSeq and is a predicted model, not a curated record.